UUGCAAUAUCUACACAUUACAGUAGUUGAAAGUGGAUUUAGAAGUGAGGGAUAGAUUUAGAGCACAAGCCCGUGACUCUGCAUGAAUUUGACUAGUUUAGACCAGUUUCUUCCAGUUGUGCGGAACCACAGCAAUAAACAGGCCAUUCAUAAAGCAUAGAGUGUGUGUUCAUUGUGGCAGCACAUUUUGCUUAAAAUCUUUUAAAUUAUGCCUUGAAGAAUUUGGGCAUAAAUCCACUUCAAACCCUCACACUGUCUCAGGGGUGGCCAAAAGAAAGUUAUGUGCCAAAAAUGCUGUGUGGGUUAAUUUUAAAAACCCUUCUCCUCCCCCACAUUUAUGAUUUUUAUCCACUACCACCUCCAAACGUCUACCUACAAAAUUCCAUCAUAUGCAGUCUGAUUCACACUUUCACAAGAACCAAUAUAAUGACACUCUUUUUUUCUAAAUCCAAUCUGGAGUCAUUACUGAGACAUCAACUUAUAUUCUACCAACUCAUGUUUUAGUAUCCUAGAAAAGAAGAUAUUAAAUUCUUGACAUUCUCUUUUUAUAAGGUCACCAAUGCGAGCAAUAUGAUAUGAUGUUUGAAACAGUCCAGCAUCUCAGGCUGUUAAGAGAUCAAGGAAAAGGAGUAUUAAUUGACAAAUGAAUGCUACAUAAAAUAGUCAUAGAUAGCUCUAAUAUUUAUUGUACUAGUUAUGUGCCAGUACUAAAGGAAGAUCUUAUAUAUUUAGCUCAUUUAAUUCUUAAAGAAGACCUAUGAGGUGACAGUAACAUCAUCUCCAGGUUAAACAUAAGAAAGCUAAAGGUACAGCAGGUUUAAGUAGCCUUCUAUUGUACAAUGCUGCUGCUGCUGCUGCUAAGUCGCUGCUGCUGCUAAGUCGCUUCAGUCAUGUCCAACUGUGUGUGACCCCAUAGAUGGCAGCCCACCAGGCUUCUCUGUCCACAGGAUUCUCUAGGCAAGAAUACUGGAGUGGGUUGCCAUUUCCUUCUCUGUAUUGUACAAUGAAACCAAGCCAUCCACCCAUACACUCUGACUUCAGAACCCAAGUUCUCAACCAUUAUAUUUAAGUGACUACCUUCCUUUCUUUCUUUUCAAACUUAGGCUUUCUCUACUCUACAAAGCUUAUUAAGAUAUUGCAAUGAGGUGGUGGAGGGGAAGACAAGAACAAUAUUAUACCACUGGCUUAUUUUCAAAAUCAUUUGUAACUUUAAACAUGUGCAUUAUCUUUCCAAUGUCUCCUGGUUUAAUAUAACUAGAAUUCAUUAACGUCUUGUCCAUAGAUCCAUCUCACAGAGCUUGGACACUUGGGGUACACCUGAGAGCAGAGUGUUUUUCCACAGAAAUUAAAGAUGCUAAGAUGCAUAGAUUUUUCAUUUACAAAUGUUGAGAGUGGAGGAGGUUAAACAAUUCUUUGUUUAAGGCUGAGACCAGGGUAAAGCAGAUUAAACCAAAUGCACCAGCUGUGACUUUUUGCACUCCACACCAACUGGGACUGUCCUAGUCAGACAUGUCAGAAUCUCAGUGUCAAAGGGCAGUUGUUGAUGUUGGAUACUAAGGAAGACAUCUCCACAACCAGCGAAACAAGAAAAGCCUGUCUUCAGGGACUACAAUGGCCCAAUUCCCUUCCUAUCCCUUAGGGGGGCUACUCUGCAGAUUUCCUCCUUAUCUUUCAAAGUUCUAGAAAUACACAAUAAUGACUGUAGUUUGUCAGGGACUGUUUUUCCAGCUUGAAUCCAUACUUCCAAACCAUCACUCCAUUCCUCCUUGCAAACAGAAUGUCAAUUCCACUCAGGGUUCCACUCCUCAUGAGAGACAGAUGGCUCAGGUUUGUGUCCAUUCUGAUCAUUCACUGUUUACUUUGCUGUGACAAGACUGAAGC
This is a long non-coding RNA of Bos taurus (domestic cattle), 1880 nucleotides long. Lineage: Eukaryota; Metazoa; Chordata; Mammalia; Artiodactyla; Bovidae. The record is from Ensembl.